This is a long non-coding RNA of Amphiprion ocellaris (clown anemonefish), 1104 nucleotides long. RefSeq lists it as uncharacterized. The transcript is spliced from 2 exons. NCBI's taxonomy places the organism in Eukaryota, Metazoa, Chordata, Actinopteri, Pomacentridae. The record is from RefSeq and is a predicted model, not a curated record.
CUGACAUUAAAAAUCACAGGCUUAUGAUCAGAGAAUACGUUAUCACCGAUCUCAAUAUUCGACACAGACAAUCCAUAAGACAGAAUCAGGUCUAAUGUGUGUCCGUGUUCAUGUGUGGGACCCGACACACACUGAACCACAUUAAAAGAGGCAAUAAGACUUAGAAAGUCCUUCACCAGCCGCUUAUCGGGACAGCACACACGAAUAUUAAAAUGCACAAUAUUUCUCCUGUCUGGAUUAAAUUUCAGAAAUACAGUUUAGAUUUACUAAAUAUUCCAGGAAUUCUUGCUCUCAGUUUGACCAUAGAAAUGAACUUGUUGUUGAGGCAGUUUGUGUUUGAGUUUUUCUGCCUCGAGCUUCAUCACCAGUGAUGUUCAGGACUCAUUCUUGUAUUUUACACUCUCUGAUGUUUUCUUUUCUUCAUGUCUAGUGUGUGAAUCAUUUCUGGUUUGUCUCUUCAGUGUCUCAUGUGGCCCUGCAGCUUCUCCUCCUCCACCUCCUCCUGAAGCCUUCAUCUUCUUCAUCAUCAGCUGCUCAGUGACUCUGUUGGACGUCUCACCGUGUGGCAGCAGCUCAGGAGUUUGCAGUCAACCAAGGCCGACUCAGAAUCACUCCCACCGGGAAGAUCUGUGAAGGAAGGUCCACCCGGCUGGUCCAGAAGCUCCGGUCCAGCAGAGCAGCGUCAGGAUGGAGACGUAACCGGGUGAGUUAACUAGAGAGGCGACACAUUCACAUAGAAAAUCCAACAAUUCCUUCUGUUUUUACAGUUUAUGACUCUGGUAAAUGGUGUCAUUUUUCAAAGCUGGUGGGUUUUGGGCUUCACAGAUUGAACCUAAAUGCUUUUCUUAAACAAACUGCUGAGCUGCUGCACAGUGAAAUGUUUGAGUGGAGCUCAGGAUGAAAGCAUCAGAGCUGUUUUACAUGUUUUUAUGUUCAGCUAAUAUCAUUUCCUCUGGACAAUGUUUGUGGUGUUAGAAGUGGACGUUUGUAGGGAGUUUUCAGUUGUGAUACUUUAAUGCAUAAAUAUUUGCAGUGGUGGUUUCACUGCAAGCAUCUACUGAUGUCACCAGUGAAGUAAAUAAAAACAGCAUUUGUUGAACUUUA